This 459-nucleotide ribosomal RNA is filed under the name uncultured bacterium. Its description in RNAcentral is "partial 16S ribosomal RNA". It matches the Rfam family "Bacterial small subunit ribosomal RNA", at positions 338 to 795 of the family's 1533-position model. The record is from RNAcentral.
CCUACGGGUGGCAGCAGUGAGGAAUAUUGGUCAAUGGCCGGGAGGCUGAACCAGCCAAGUCGCGUGAGGGAAGACGGCCCUACGGGUUGUAAACCUCUUUUGUCAGGGAGCAAGGUGCAGGUCGGGACCUGCUGUGAGAGUACCUGAAGAAAAAGCAUCGGCUAACUCCGUGCCAGCAGCCGCGGUACUACGGAGGAUGCGAGCGUUAUCCGGCUUUAUUGGGGUUAAAGGGUGCGCAGGGGGCGGCACAAGUCAGCGGUAAAAUCGCGGGGCUCAACCCCGCUCCGCCGUUGAAACUGUGUGCCUUGAGUGCGGGAAGGGUAGGCGGAAUGCGUGGUGUAGCGGUGAAAUGCAUAGAUAUCACGCAGAACUCCGAUCGCGAAGGCAGCCUACCGGCGCGCAACUGACGCUGAUGCACGAAAGCGUGGGUAUCGAACAGGAUUAGAUACCCGGGUAGUC